UACAUAGGGUGCAAGCGUUGUCCGGAAUUAUUGGGCGUAAAGAGCUCGUAGGUGGUUCGUUACGUCGGAUGUGAAAACCUGAGGCUCAACCUCAGGCCUGCAUUCGAUACGGGCGAACUGGAGUGUGGUAGGGGAGACUGGAAUUCCUGGUGUAGCGGUGGAAUGCGCAGAUAUCAGGAGGAACACCAAUGGCGAAGGCAGGUCUCUGGGCCACUACUGACACUGAGGAGCGAAAGCGUGGGGAGCAAACAGG
This 253-nucleotide non-coding RNA is filed under the name uncultured bacterium. RNAcentral's name for it is "partial 16S ribosomal RNA". It matches the Rfam family "Bacterial small subunit ribosomal RNA", at positions 524 to 776 of the family's 1533-position model. RNAcentral also lists the same sequence under 1 other name. The record is from RNAcentral.